GCAGUGGUAACUCAGCGGUAGAGUGUGAGAUUGCAAAUAUGCAUCUAUCUUGAAGUCCCGUGUUCGAUCCACGGUCACUGCU
This is a non-coding RNA of Penicillium camemberti, 82 nucleotides long. Lineage: Eukaryota; Fungi; Ascomycota; Eurotiomycetes; Eurotiales; Aspergillaceae. The record is from Rfam.